AGGGUUUGAUCAUGGCUCAGAUUGAACGCUGGCGGUAUGCUUAACACAUGCAAGUCGAACGGCAGCAUGCGAGUUCUUCGGAACUUGUGCUGACGAGUGGCGGACGGGUGAGUAAUGCGUAGGAAUCUGCCUAAAAGUGGGGGACAACCUGGGGAAACUCAGGCUAAUACCGCAUAAUCUCUACGGAGUAAAGCAGGGGACCUUUCGGGGCCUUGCGCUUUUAGAUGAGCCUGCGUCGGAUUAGCUAGUUGGUGGGGUAAAGGCCUACCAAGGCGACGAUCCGUAGCUGUUCUGAGAGGAAGAUCAGCCACACUGGGACUGAGACACGGCCCAGACUCCUACGGGAGGCAGCAGUGGGGAAUAUUGGACAAUGGGCGAAAGCCUGAUCCAGCAAUACCGCGUGUGUGAAGAAGGCCUAAGGGUUGUAAAGCACUUUCAGCAGGGAGGAAAGGGCAGUUGUUAAUAACAGCUGCAGUUGACGUUACCUGCAGAAGAAGCACCGGCUAACUCUGUGCCAGCAGCCGCGGUAAUACAGAGGGUGCAAGCGUUAAUCGGAAUUACUGGGCGUAAAGCGUGCGUAGGUGGAUAUUUAAGUCAGAUGUGAAAUCCCUGGGCUCAACCUAGGAACUGCAUUCGAUACUGGAUGUCUAGAGUAUGGUAGAGGGAAGUGGAAUUUCCGGUGUAGCGGUGAAAUGCGUAGAUAUCGGAAGGAACACCAGUGGCGAAGGCGGCUUCCUGGCCCAAUACUGACACUGAGGCACGAAAGCGUGGGUAGCAAACAGGAUUAGAUACCCUGUUAGUCCACGCCGUAAACGAUGUCAACUAGCUGUUGGGAGGAUCUGCCUCUUAGUAGCGUAGCUAACGCGAUAAGUUGACCGCCUGGGGAGUACGGCCGCAAGGCUAAAACUCAAAUGAAUUGACGGGGGCCCGCACAAGCGGUGGAGCAUGUGGUUUAAUUCGAUCCAACGCGAAAAACCUUACCUGCCCUUGACAUGUAGCGAACUUUCCAGAGAUGGAUUGGUGCCUUCGGGAACGCUAACACAGGUGCUGCAUGGCUGUCGUCAGCUCGUGUCGUGAGAUGUUGGGUUAAGUCCCGUAACGAGCGCAACCCUUAUCCUUAGUUACCAUCAAGUUAAGGUGGGGACUUUAGGGAGACUGCCGGUGAUAAACCGGAGGAAGGUGGGGACGACGUCAAGUCAUCAUGGCCCUUAUGGGUAGGGCUACACACGUGCUACAAUGGUCAGUACAGAGGGUCGCGAAGCGGUGACGUGGAGCAAAACUCAGAAAGCUGAUCGUAGUCCGGAUUGGAGUCUGCAACUCGACUCCAUGAAGUUGGAAUCGCUAGUAAUCGCGGAUCAGCAUGCCGCGGUGAAUACGUUCUCGGGCCUUGUACACACCGCCCGUCACACCAUGGGAGUGGGUUGUACCAGAAGUAGGUAGACUAACCUUCGGGAGGUCGCUUACCACGGUAUGGUUCAUGACUGGGGUGAAGUCGUAACAAGGUAGCCGUA
This 1511-nucleotide ribosomal RNA is filed under the name uncultured prokaryote. RNAcentral describes it as "partial 16S ribosomal RNA". It matches the Rfam family "Bacterial small subunit ribosomal RNA". The record is from RNAcentral.